UUCUUCCAAACCCCUUCCCCACACCACAAUCUUCAAACAAGGUUUUCGUGUUGGCCAGUUUGGCUUCGUGUUGGUCUUCCCCUGCUUGGGCGAGCCAGGUGUCGAGGCGUAGAGGCGUGGAGGACUUAACUUAGUCACUGGAGUUUCUUUGGUAAACAUAGAGUGGAGAACAUUUUGUUUUUUUCAAGUUGUCAAAAAGCUGAAUACCUUUUGUUGUUCACCUCUAAAAAUGGGGAUUCGUAACUUUCGUCCACCAAAAUCGCGUGAAGAGUGUCUACUGCUCGAGUAGGCACAUUCGAACAAAUUUGGAGCAUUGGCUAUAAAACUGACAUGUUGAUUGUUGAUGGGAGUGUGUCAUCUAUAGUGUCGAAUUGGAUCUCCCUCUGGAUGCUUCCUGUAUCCAUGAAUUCCGAAUACCUCCUAAUCCUCUUAUAGGAUUGCAUUCGUAUUGUCCUUCCAUUUUUACGCUUUACAUGCGGUGCUUGUUGACGUAAGUGUACAUCCCAGUAUACUAAAAGUUGCCUCUCAUUCAUUUGCAUCAAAGCUACCCAGCAAUUCUGCCAACACUGAAAUCAUUGCAGAUAAAAGCAGCGAAGCCUCGAAUAAAUUUCUCCUUUAUAUACCACUUCCUGCUCCUACCCAACCAAGCCUCCAAUCAUGCCUCUCCACAUUCUGAUCACGGGCUUCCAAGCUGAAGGGUUCCACGAGCUACACGAGGGAGACCAUAUUCACUUUCCUGAACUUUGACUGAAAUAAAACCCAAGCGGGGAAACCAAAAAAGAAAAAAGAGAGGAGAGGGUCGUGAGAGGAGAAAAGAAGAAACAGGAGAAACGAAAAAGUCUCGAAACAAAGGAAGAGGAAAGCAAAAGAGCCUGAAAAAGAAGAAAAAUUAGAAGAAGCUUCAACGGGUAUGUCAUGAACUUGCAUGAAAUCAUUAUAUGUAUAUGUUAUGGAUUAGAUUCAUCUUAAUAGUUGAAAUGUGUUGUAAUGGAUGGAUUUCUGCUAAUGUUUAUGAUAUUGUUAUUGACUGUGAUAUUACAUUUCCUCCCUCACUCAUCAAUUCACGUUAUCUAUCCCUGGUACUCCAUCAUUCAUUUCAUAAUGCUUUCAUUCAUCGCUCUAUUUCAUUUAUCAUCAAACAUAGCCAUCAAAUUCAUUCUCAAUUCCUUUCAACACCAUCGGUGACCCUUCUCCAUGAUUCUGUAUCCUCUACCAAGUGAGAUACAACCUCACCUUCUUCUUUUAACCUCGAUUUCAUCUUUCCAACCUGCACAGAGAAGCCAUAUCCAGAGAACAAAAACAUUAGUGGAGGAAACUAGACAAUGCAUACUCAUUCAAAAUCAGAUUCAGCUCUUUGCAUGUUCAUGUUCGUUACUUAAUCCAAUCAGAAAAGAAAAUACAAAACAGAAUCUACUCCCAUCGUCUUCAUCAAAUUUUCCCAUCAACCACACCAUCUCCAAUUUCUUUCACCUGCAAAACGCUAAUCCAACCAUCCAAAUCACAGAUCAUCGGCACUUGAAACACAUAUUCAGAAAUCAAAACCACUGUUAGCAACCGUUACCGGUGCCGCCAUUCAGGAGCUCCUCACCGUGAGCCACCACCGAACCAACCAAAAGCCGCGAGCUCCUCCAUCGUGACUCUCCAACUCCGGCGAAGGAGCGAUUUGCUCGCGUUUGACAUUGAAGGCUAAGAAGGCCGCCGAGUUAUGGUGGCGUGACCCUUCUUCUACGGGAAAGGUGCAGCGUUGUUUGCAAGGUAGCGGCUGUCGUUGGUUAGAGGAUGAGCAAACCCUGCCUUCUUUGAA
Molecule: non-coding RNA, 1804 nt
Organism: Vigna umbellata (rice bean)
Lineage: Eukaryota; Viridiplantae; Streptophyta; Magnoliopsida; Fabales; Fabaceae
Source: RefSeq, a predicted model, not a curated record